GCUGGGCAAGAUGCUGGAAUAGUCCUUGCUCCGAGUGGGCUGGGACACGAUAUUGCUAAAUGUUUAUCUCUUUGCUCAAAUGGUUGAGGGUUUGGUGGUUCUCCUGGGGCCAAUCUAGUGAUGGAGGUAAUGUCCAGCAGGGUUUGAUCCUGAACCAUGGAGAUCUGGCUGGUUGGUUCUGAUGAAAGUGAAGAGCUGCUUGAUGUGACGCUGGAAGAGUUUGACGUAGCGAAUGGGGGUAUUUUCUGAGCAUUAUGGUCACUCCUGUUCCUCUGCGUGCUAGUGACAUUUAGAGCUGGGUGUUGUGAAGCCCUAAAGAAAGACAAACACACACUUUGUCCUCUGGACUGGGCUGAAGGUUUGUAAGACAUUUUUAGGCCUAUUUCAGGACAAUUUUAAGCCUGUUUCCCACAACUGCAUUUCCCCAUAGGCUGUUUUGCUUCUCAUGUCUGUGUAAAACCCUCUGCUUCUCAUGAACAAGAAAAAAGUGCUUGAGAAUAAGGCACAUAAAUUCAGGACCAGUUCCUCCCUCGUGCCAUCUAAGCAGCUAUUAUCAGUGUGAUAAUCACUGGCAUAUCAGUGUUCUUCCCAGAAGUCAUACAGCUCUGCAAGAACCAGGGAUUUGGUGCUGGGGAAGGACAGGAAAGGGAAGAAAGCUACUGGCAUAUUGACUGUGACAAAUUCCAGUAAGAAUGCAAAAGGAUAAAACCUGGCUUGCAAGUUGCCACAACACCUGCCCUCGAUCAUUCCUGAAAAGUGUGAAGACCUGCCUUCACUUUGGACCCACAUACUUUAGUCUCCUGAUAGCUCCGCACAGUCACCCAAUGUAUUAGGGGAUGAAUAAACAGGCAAAAUAAAAACAGAAGGGCAGCACAGGAUGACAUCAGCGUUCCUGUGGUGACAUUGUAGGACAUUUCUUUUAUAUAGCUUGGUAUGUAAAGGACUUUUCUUCCCCUCCCUCCCCCAAGCUGUAGACUGUGUACAGGCAGAGAAGAUACCAAUGUUUUUUUUUCUAUGGCUAAAUUUUACUUAGUUUGGCAAGAGAGAAAGAUGUACCUCUGUAGACUGGAAUUGUGCUGAUGGGUAGCAAAUGCAGCUAGAAAUGCCUUGACCUUGAAGGGGAACACAAACAUAUCGACUGUGCAGAUCAUGAUUCAGGAUUUCUAACAGCCAAAGGACAUGACAAACUUCUGUAGCAAUAGCAG
This 1205-nucleotide long non-coding RNA is filed under the name Strigops habroptila (Kakapo). RNAcentral's name for it is "lncRNA (ENSSHBG00005002244.1)". The record is from RNAcentral. Lineage: Eukaryota; Metazoa; Chordata; Aves; Psittaciformes; Psittacidae.